AACCGCGGCCAUACGAUUAGUCCAAAUUAAUAAGCAUACGGCGUAAAGCGUAUCAGAAGAAUUAAGAAAAUAAAGUUAAAUCUUAUACUAGCUGUUUAAAGCUCAAGAUAAGACAUAAAUAGCCUACGAAAGUGACUUUAAUAAUCCUAAACAUACGAUAGCUAGGGUA
Molecule: ribosomal RNA, 169 nt
Filed under: Loxodonta africana (African savanna elephant)
Lineage: Eukaryota; Metazoa; Chordata; Mammalia; Proboscidea; Elephantidae
Description: partial 12S rRNA
Source: RNAcentral